Molecule: long non-coding RNA, 1371 nt
Organism: Coffea arabica (coffee)
Lineage: Eukaryota; Viridiplantae; Streptophyta; Magnoliopsida; Gentianales; Rubiaceae
Source: RefSeq, a predicted model, not a curated record
GCCUCUUUCUUUCUCUCAAAUAGCCGCUUUCUUCCCGUCGAAUCAACCUGCAAAAUUUUUAGUUUUCUACCAAUUCCUUCAACAACCAAUUGUCCUUCCUUUUGAUUGCAACCCACAAAAUCCUCCACACGCACGUGAAUUUUUGUCCUACCCCAAAAAUUAGGUCAGUAAAAUUUUUUCCCCCAAAAUCUAGAAGCCUGCAAAAUCUUCAAUUUUCUGUCAAUUCCUCGAGCAACUAAUUGUACUUCCACCAACUAAUUGUACUUCCUUUGGAUUACCUCUCAAAAAAUCAUCCACAUUCGCGUGAAUUCUUCUUUUUCCCUAAAAAACAGCUCACUCAAAUCUCUUUUUCCCCAAAAUCAGCUCAUUUUAGGGAUGGCUGUUCUACCGCCUUAUCAUCUAUGCUAUAGCUUUCAGAACUUACUAUUUCCAACUCUAUAUAUACCUCUGUUUCCCAGUUUUGCCGGUAUUCAGCAGACGAGCGAAGAAAAUCUAGGCGAGCAAAGAAAAUAUAGGUAUGUUUCUAUUUUAUCACCUUCUAUUUUGAACUGCAAGUUUUUUUUUCACUGUUGUUGCCUCUGUUUAUUGCUUUCUCUUAAUUAAGAAAUGCGAUGUGUUUGAUGUUAUGCUAUGAUAGUUUACUUUUCCCUCUGUUUUUUAUUUCAAAUGUUGCAUGAUGCUGUUAGCUGCUUAUCUAUUCAAUAAUUACAUCAUUUAGUAUCAUUGUCCUUUGGCUUAUUAAGGUUGUCAUUUUAUAUAUAUUACUUAGUUUUACCUAUUCUAGGAUGCUUUGAUUCUGUCAUUUUGUGUGCCUUUGGAUUAGCAUUUUGCUUUGUUUAUAGUAAAAUUAGAUUUUGAUUUUUUGUGUUUCAAAAUGAAAAAAAAAAAAAGAAAAUUUAGUACAGGUUUUAGAUUGAUAGAUGAAAUGUUUGAUGAUUCCCCUGAUCUAAGAAUGUUGGAAAGAAACAAAAAGACAAACUUAAAUAUGCUGACUUAAAUAAGCUUCAAUUGUUCACACCAAGCACAAAGUUGGUACUUGAAGAAAUUGCUGGAGCCAGUUCUUACAAAGACAGCCAGACAUCUGCAACCAGUGGAGCAAAAUGAAGCCUUGAGUUUCCAGAAGAUUUACCAGCAGACACACAUGCUAAACAUCCAACAAAGGCUCCUGAAGAGUUUGCCAAAGAACCUGCAAAACUGUAUGGUCCACCUGCAAAUAUCAAAGACAGUCUAACCAAGAAAGCUAAAGCAAAGGAAGACUAAUAUGGCCUAUUUCUGUACUUUUGUUAAAUCUUUUGUUCAUUGCCUUUCCUCCAUUGCUUAGACAAUAUCUUUUGAAUUAUAUUAUGAUCCAUUAUUCUUUUGACUUAAAAA